UCCUACGGGAGGCAGCAGUAGGGAAUCUUCCACAAUGGACGCAAGUCUGAUGGAGCAACGCCGCGUGAGUGAAGAAGGUUUUCGGAUCGUAAAGCUCUGUUGUUGGUGAAGAAGGAUAGAGGUAGUAACUGGCCUUUAUUUGACGGUAAUCAACCAGAAAGUCACGGCUAACUACGUGCCAGCAGCCGCGGUAAUACGUAGG
This 202-nucleotide ribosomal RNA is filed under the name uncultured bacterium. Its description in RNAcentral is "partial 16S ribosomal RNA". It matches the Rfam family "Bacterial small subunit ribosomal RNA", at positions 337 to 531 of the family's 1533-position model. The record is from RNAcentral.